UAGCCAAGACGUUCUGGUCCAACCUACUCGAAGAUUUUUAGUGAUGACAAGCUAGCGACAAUUAUCAUCGUGAUAAUGUGCUCUCUCUCAACGACAAAGAUAUAUAGCACAUACCACAAGGUCCACAAAAACGGUUGAUCAUCAGUACCUACACCUACACAUACAUUAUCAACUCCAAAGUGAAAGAGGGAGAGAGACAAUGGCCAUGACAACGAAAAAUGCCUAAGACAAAAGCACAUGAUGAGGAGUGCCUGAAACAAUACGUCGAUGCGCCUCCAAACUAUUGUACGGCUAGGAUAUAUCCGUCAUUGUGUUAUUAUACGUAAUGAAAUAAUCAAAGGUAAGUGGUCCAAAUAAUUAUGUAACAAUGAAUAAUUAAAAGAAAAAUAAGAAACGCUAGACGUUUCACGUUUGCUUGUGAAUUAUCAUUACAAUAUAUUUCAUAAUGAUGAUAAGUGGAAAUAUGUCGAUCUCCUUAAAAUCGAUCUCGCACAAGCUAGAUCAAGCUGUGUCACGAAUAUUUCCAUUUAUUUUCCUUUCUUUCAGCCUUGGAUACGCAAACCAAGUUGCAAAAAUCGCUUUCUUUCUUUUUGUUUUCUACUUAUGAUGCUUGUACCAGAUUGGCUUCAGCUGUAUACCAUGAAUAAAAUGGGGUUAGAUGUGA
This is a long non-coding RNA of Camelina sativa (false flax), 664 nucleotides long. RefSeq lists it as uncharacterized. NCBI's taxonomy places the organism in Eukaryota, Viridiplantae, Streptophyta, Magnoliopsida, Brassicales, Brassicaceae. The record is from RefSeq and is a predicted model, not a curated record.